CUGCAGCCAAUUAAGCCGACCGGGUUCCUUUCCUCAUGGGGUUCGGUGUGCAGUGACUGCAAACAGCAGCUUCCUUGGUUGUGUACGUAACCUGUUGCUUGUAUAGGUUGCCCUAAGGGACCUUGGAGACAGUU
Molecule: small nucleolar RNA, 134 nt
Organism: Jaculus jaculus (lesser Egyptian jerboa)
Lineage: Eukaryota; Metazoa; Chordata; Mammalia; Rodentia; Dipodidae
Gene: SNORA70
Rfam family: Small nucleolar RNA SNORA70
About the family: snoRNA U70 seems to be exclusive to mammals and is a member of the H/ACA class of snoRNA which contain H (ANANNA) and ACA box motifs. H/ACA box snoRNAs are involved in the conversion of uridines to pseudouridines (5-ribosyluracil) a constituent of structural RNAs (transfer, ribosomal, small nuclear, and small nucleolar).
Source: Ensembl